RNAcentral lists this long non-coding RNA (1233 nucleotides) under Anas platyrhynchos platyrhynchos (common mallard). RNAcentral's name for it is "lncRNA (ENSAPLG00000022056.1)". The record is from RNAcentral. Lineage: Eukaryota; Metazoa; Chordata; Aves; Anseriformes; Anatidae.
UGCCAGUGUUAGCAGCAUGGCCAAUGCCACCCGCUGCGCUGGGGAGGAGCAAGCUCCCUCGAGCCCUGCCGCAGACUCUUUGCUGUUGCUUUCUCAAGCUAUCAAAUAAAGGAUCUUUUUGUUGGUUGUGUUACGAGAGUCUCUGGGAACCCCAGUUCAUGAAACCAAGUUUAAUUUUUUGUGAGGUAGCAAGAAAUCAGACAACAAAAUCCUGUUCCUGCUGCAGACAGCCUAGUCCAAGCAUGGGCUUCAUGACUCACAUGAGGGAGCAGUAAGUCCUGAAAACAGGUAACAGGUUUCAGAUACAAAAGCUUGGUCCAUUUGCACAUUAUGGAGGGAUAUUAAGAUCCACUUUGAGUAGAGCAAACAGCCGUGUCAAUAAAUGCACUUUGUUUUUUCUGCCGCUGUGGGAAACACCCAUGUUUGGAAGAGUUUUCAGGUGCUCAGCACAACGCCACAACUUCCAACACAGUGACUGCACUGGGCUGCCCCCAGAGUCAUAAUCGUAAAUACACAUUUGAACAGGUUUGGGUGGCCAGAAAGCUCAAGAGCAGAACAUAUUUUGUGAAGGGCCGGGAAGGUGGACAACUCCACCCUCUGUGUGUUUGCACCCAGUGUGUGAGCAGUGCCGGAGUAGAGGCAGAGCCACCAGUAGCACCGGGCCCUGAGCAGAUCCGGCUCCCGGGGGACUGGUGCCCGGCCACCCACCCUGAGCCACUGACAAUCCUCAGAUGCCUUUGUCCACUGGUGUCUUUCUACCCAAUACGUGUCCAAGUAAUCUUUGCCUGCAACAGAGCAACUGAUAGCUGCACGGAAGGAAGUCGAAGGCUGUUUAGUCAAAGCACCAAGGAAGAAGUUGCUCUUCCACACCUCUGCAGCUACGCUGGUCCAUACAGGCACACAGCACAGCAGCAAGGAGCAGAGGAGCACUUGGCACCCAUGGUGCCCAUGCAGGAAAUCCAGCGGGAUGAGCACUGAGGCUGGAGUGGGGCUGCAGCCCUCAGCCUUCCUCUCUCUGGAGACCUUCCUAUUUCAAGGCAUGGCUCAGAAGCAUCUCCCCUUAUUGUUUGCUUGUGCAGCUUUAAUGCUCCAUAUGUAUGUAUAUCCUGAGCCAAAGUCAACAGGAGCCUUCCUCCACCCUCAGCCUUCAACCAUGUUGCAGGGAGUGUGUUUUGUCCCAAGGAAUUCACAGUCCACAGGGCACAUAAAUAUACAUAAGGGGAAAAAGACAAC